Molecule: ribosomal RNA, 1866 nt
Filed under: Triticum aestivum (bread wheat)
Lineage: Eukaryota; Viridiplantae; Streptophyta; Magnoliopsida; Poales; Poaceae
Description: partial small subunit ribosomal RNA
Source: RNAcentral
AUGGAUCCUCUGCCGGAUAUAUAUCCCUUGACAAGCUUGCAGAUUGGGGACAUGCAGUCUUAUAUCUCCCGGGCGUUCCUCUACUUUGCGCCGGUGAGCAAGAAGGUGUUGAUUCUUGUGGACAACCAGCCAUGGAUGACCGGCAAGCAGUCCAGAUCCGCAAGGCUAUGGCAGUUCAUGAUCACAAAGUACAGGAUGUCUCCAUUUGUGAAUUUGAGGAGUGGCACCGACACGGCGGCGGCGAUGGCGACCACAGACAAAAGAAAAAUCACGACGGCGAUGCGAAGGUGGCUGGCGGUGGCGAACUCCACCCCGGCGCUGCUCCACGGGUUCCUGGUGUUCGAGGUGUCAUGGCGGGACGUGCACGGCAUCAACUACUACAACGACCUGCUCACCGACACGUCCCUCGCACUGGAGGCGCGCUACCUCAACAAGUGGGAGUUUUACAGUGCCGAGCAGGCCGCCGGUUGCGUGUCUCAGUGGUUCCUCGGCCGCGCCUCCGAGACGCACUCCCUCCAAGGGUACCUACUCUACUAUCACCACUAUCAUCAUCGUCCUCGUCACCAUCGCUCCUCCGCGGCAUCCGCCGGAGAAGAGGAACACGCUCGCGACGACGUUAUGAUGAUGGCAGCCAGCAGCAGCGGCGACGAGAGGUGCACGCCGAGAGCGGCGACGUUGAGGAGGAGGAUGAGCUGGCGGAGCAGGGCUAGGAGGAAGAACCUACAGCAGCAGAAAUACACCGAUCGCCAGGACCAGGAGGAGGAGGAGAAGGAGGGGGAGGAUGAAGGGCUUAGGGUUCCCAUGCAUAUGCAUAUGCAUAUGCAUAUGCAGCAGUAUAGGUACAAUGACACCUUGCUCCUGUUCCGGUCUCGGGACGCGGCGCUGCCGUUCAAGCUCCGGCAGAUCAUCACGUCAGACAUCCGGUUGCUGACGCUGCUCGAGUCUGGGCUGCCGUCGUGGGUCAUCUUCUUGCAGUCAUACCCGGUGUUGUGCCACAUGUACCGGCCAUGGAUGCGGCCCCUAGCACGGAGCCUCUACGUGCUCGCCUCCCUCGUCACCGUCAUCAUCGGCUUCUACGACCUAUACAAGAACGUGCCGCUGCUCAAGUCCGCGGCGGCGCGCAUCUGCGGCCCGCUCUUCGAGUGGAUCGAGACGUGGGACAUGGUGACCCGCAUCCAGUACCUGGGCACCAUCCUCUUCCUCCGCAACCUGCGCAAGUUCAUGCAGGGCCUGCUCACGCUCCUUCAAGCCGCCAGGGCACUGCUCCGUGUUAUGCUCGCUCCAUUGGCCGACCUAGGGUUGUGUCAGCUGCUUGCCACACUCGGCGUCCUAGCCUCACACGCGUGGGGCCUGGUGGUGGACCUGGCAGAGGUGGUGUGGGCGCCCUUCGACGUGGUGCUCGACUGCGUCGCCCGGGUUGUGUCGUCCUUGUGGCCGGUGCUCAAGGUGGUGGUGUUGCCGGCGAGGUUCGUGGUGGCGGUCGCAGCCUGCGCGGGGUCAGUGCUGUCCAACAGCUACAACUUCUUCAAGGACAUUUGGGAGACUCUGAGCAGCAUCUUCGAGCUCAACCACAUGUCGGAGGCGCAACAGAGCGCUUUUGACAUGACCACGCUCAAGACCUUGUGGAAUGACCUCUUCUCGCAGAUCUUCCGGGCCAUCAGGGGUAUCCUCAAUGGCAUCCUUGUCUUCUUCUACGCCUGCAACAGGCACAGGCUCAGCAUCUACAAUCACGCACAGACAAGGCUGCGAAAUAUGCUUCGUGUCACUAGAUUGGCGCCAAAACAACAUGCACCAUGCCACUGCAACUCCACCACCAAGCACCCAAACCAUGAGGAUGCACCCGUUCAAUGCGACGUAUGCAAGUGA